CUUUUAUUUAUUGGAUUAACAUUAUUAGAAUUAAAAGCUGUUAAUACACAAGUGAAACACAUUCAUCACUGAUAAAGUUUCGUAGCACUGAGCACUCAGAAAGAACCAGGUUCAACUUAAUGACACAUGUUGGACAAAUACAGGAAGAAAAACAGGAAGAAUGCAUUAAAUUUAGUUUAAGUGUUUAUGAGUCACUAAGUGAGGAUAUUAGUUUGAUAGUGAACUGAUCCAGUUGCUCUUUCGGCAGUUGUGGUUUUUGCAUCUCUGUGGUUGAAGAGGAAAUAACAGAGUGACCAGGCGGAUGAACAUCAACCUGUGACCAACUAGAAUACAGAGACUCUGCAGAGCUCCCAGGGUGAGGAAAAACACUCCCACCCCAAGAACAUCACUGAAAGAAUACUGAAGAUGUGUCUGCGCUGUGUCUGUGUGUCCAAGUAUUCCAAACAAUCAUCAUAGUAAUAACAGGCACUGUGGCUGUGGGUGCUGUUUGGACUUCUCUGACUGCUGUCAGUCUUUUAUUACUGUAAACAAUAUGGCAGCAGUGUUUGUAGUAAUUACAAUAAAUGCAUUGGUAAA
Oreochromis niloticus (Nile tilapia) is the source of this 576-nucleotide long non-coding RNA. RefSeq lists it as uncharacterized. The transcript is spliced from 2 exons. The record is from RefSeq and is a predicted model, not a curated record. NCBI's taxonomy places the organism in Eukaryota, Metazoa, Chordata, Actinopteri, Cichliformes, Cichlidae.